Molecule: non-coding RNA, 495 nt
Organism: Vicia faba (fava bean)
Lineage: Eukaryota; Viridiplantae; Streptophyta; Magnoliopsida; Fabales; Fabaceae
Source: the annotation of a GenBank genome assembly
GUUAAUUUAUUAUUGGUUAGAAUUACAUGUUUAUUAAUUAUUUUAGGGGCCAAGAAUUCUAUUCACUUUUAUACGAUAUAUUUUUGUUAUACGGUACACACAGUGAAUAAUCCUAGGGACCAAAUUUUUAUUCACUUUUACAUGUGCAGCUUCACAACUUUUUUCUCACAGGACAAUUCACACAAAUUAUACAUAUUUUUUCCACCACGCACAACUUCAUACAUAUUUUCUUGUGUCUUCACUUUGUAUUCUUCAAAAACCUCCAACCUUCAAAAAGAAAACAUAUCAUUCUUCACACACUUACUAAGCCAAUUCUCAUUCAUGAUACCAAAAGACCCAAUCUUUAUUUCACAUUUUUACGAAAUUUUUACAGUAACUCACCAUCAACCAUCAGCUUUCUUCAGAUUUAUCACAAAACCUUCACCAUAUUACAAACAAAAUUCCAAAAGAAAAAACUUGUUACAACAUCAACACAACUUUCUAUUUUGCAGAUAA